RNAcentral lists this long non-coding RNA (296 nucleotides) under Capsella rubella. RNAcentral describes it as "long non-coding RNA (CRUB_LNC004973)". Lineage: Eukaryota; Viridiplantae; Streptophyta; Magnoliopsida; Brassicales; Brassicaceae. The record is from RNAcentral.
GCAAUUUCAAAUCAUCGUUCUAUAAGUUAAUUGAAACAUAUAUAGAUUUCAAAUAUAGAAUAUCAGUUACUCUUUCUAGAUACAGCAUGAGUUGCAUCUUUCUUUCGCCGGUAUGGAAGUUUCGCAGGUCCCAUUCUCUGUCUCUAAGCGUAACAAUCUGAAAAUUAAAAACAAAAACACAAUUAAUUAACACAUCACUACAUCAAUACAUCAUAUCUAUAUUAAUUUUAACCUAAGCAUACAUGUUUUCUUACUUUAGGUUUAGCUGAAAGACUUCGUCGAUAGCUUUAAUAAUG